GGUUAAGCGACUAAGCGUACACGGUGGAUGCCCUGGCAGUCAGAGGCGAUGAAGGACGUGCUAAUCUGCGAAAAGCGUCGGUAAGGUGAUAUGAACCGUUACAGCCGGCGAUGUCCGAAUGGGGAAACCCAGUGCAAUUCGUUGCACUAUCGUUAACUGAAUACAUAGGUUAACGAGGCGAACCGGGGGAACUGAAACAUCUAAGUACCCCGAGGAAAAGAAAUCAACCGAGAUUCCCCCAGUAGCGGCGAGCGAACGGGGAGCAGCCCAGAGUCUGAAUCAGCUUGUGUGUUAGUGGAACGGUCUGGAAAGUCCGACGGUACAGGGUGAUAGUCCCGUACACCAAAAUGCACAGGCUGUGAACUCGAAGAGUAGGGCGGGACACGUGGUAUCCUGUCUGAAUAUGGGGGGACCAUCCUCCAAGGCUAAAUACUCCUGACUGACCGAUAGUGAACCAGUACCGUGAGGGAAAGGCGAAAAGAACCCCGGCGAGGGGAGUGAAAAAGAACCUGAAACCGUGUACGUACAAGCAGUGGGAGCACCUUCGGGUGUGACUGCGUACCUUUUGUAUAAUGGGUCAGCGACUUAUAUUCUGUAGCAAGGUUAACCGUAUAGGGGAGCCGCAGGGAAACCGAGUCUUAACUGGGCGUUAAGUUGCAGGGUAUAGACCCGAAACCCGGUGAUCUAGCCAUGGGCAGGUUGAAGGUUGGGUAACACUAACUGGAGGACCGAACCGACUAAUGUUGAAAAAUUAGCGGAUGACUUGUGGCUGGGGGUGAAAGGCCAAUCAAACCGGGAGAUAGCUGGUUCUCCCCGAAAGCUAUUUAGGUAGCGCCUCGUGAACUCAUCUUCGGGGGUAGAGCACUGUUUCGGCUAGGGGGUCAUCCCGACUUACCAACCCGAUGCAAACUACGAAUACCGAAGAAUGUUAUCACGGGAGACACACGGCGGGUGCUAACGUCCGUCGUGAAGAGGGAAACAACCCAGACCGCCAGCUAAGGUCCCAAAGUCAUGGUUAAGUGGGAAACGAUGUGGGAAGGCACAGACAGCCAGGAUGUUGGCUUAGAAGCAGCCAUCAUUUAAAGAAAGCGUAAUAGCUCACUGGUCGAGUCGGCCUGCGCGGAAGAUGUAACGGGGCUAAACCAUGCACCGAAGCUGCGGCAGCGACACUAUGUGUUGUUGGGUAGGGGAGCGUUCUGUAAGCCUGCGAAGGUGUGCUGUGAGGCAUGCUGGAGGUAUCAGAAGUGCGAAUGCUGACAUAAGUAACGAUAAAGCGGGUGAAAAGCCCGCUCGCCGGAAGACCAAGGGUUCCUGUCCAACGUUAAUCGGGGCAGGGUGAGUCGACCCCUAAGGCGAGGCCGAAAGGCGUAGUCGAUGGGAAACAGGUUAAUAUUCCUGUACUUGGUGUUACUGCGAAGGGGGGACGGAGAAGGCUAUGUUAGCCGGGCGACGGUUGUCCCGGUUUAAGCAUGUAGGCUGAUUGUCCAGGCAAAUCCGGAUAAUCAAGGCUGAGGUGUGAUGACGAGGCACUACGGUGCUGAAGUAACAAAUGCCCUGCUUCCAGGAAAAGCCUCUAAGCAUCAGGUAACAUUAAAUCGUACCCCAAACCGACACAGGUGGUCAGGUAGAGAAUACCAAGGCGCUUGAGAGAACUCGGGUGAAGGAACUAGGCAAAAUGGUGCCGUAACUUCGGGAGAAGGCACGCUGGUGUGUAGGUGAAGUCCCUGCGGAUGGAGCUGAGACCAGUCGAAGAUACCAGCUGGCUGCAACUGUUUAUUAAAAACACAGCACUGUGCAAACACGAAAGUGGACGUAUACGGUGUGACGCCUGCCCGGUGCCGGAAGGUUAAUUGAUGGGGUUAUCCGUAAGGAGAAGCUCUUGAUCGAAGCCCCGGUAAACGGCGGCCGUAACUAUAACGGUCCUAAGGUAGCGAAAUUCCUUGUCGGGUAAGUUCCGACCUGCACGAAUGGCGUAAUGAUGGCCAGGCUGUCUCCACCCGAGACUCAGUGAAAUUGAACUCGCUGUGAAGAUGCAGUGUACCCGCGGCAAGACGGAAAGACCCCGUGAACCUUUACUAUAGCUUGACACUGAACAUUGAGCCUUGAUGUGUAGGAUAGGUGGGAGGCUUUGAAGCGUGGACGCCAGUCUGCGUGGAGCCAACCUUGAAAUACCACCCUUUAAUGUUUGAUGUUCUAACGUUGGCCCCUUACCGGGGUUGCGGACAGUGUCUGGUGGGUAGUUUGACUGGGGCGGUCUCCUCCCAAAGCGUAACGGAGGAGCACGAAGGUUAGCUAAUCCUGGUCGGACAUCAGGAGGUUAGUGCAAUGGCAUAAGCUAGCUUGACUGCGAGCGUGACGGCGCGAGCAGGUGCGAAAGCAGGUCAUAGUGAUCCGGUGGUUCUGAAUGGAAGGGCCAUCGCUCAACGGAUAAAAGGUACUCCGGGGAUAACAGGCUGAUACCGCCCAAGAGUUCAUAUCGACGGCGGUGUUUGGCACCUCGAUGUCGGCUCAUCACAUCCUGGGGCUGAAGUAGGUCCCAAGGGUAUGGCUGUUCGCCAUUUAAAGUGGUACGCGAGCUGGGUUUAGAACGUCGUGAGACAGUUCGGUCCCUAUCUGCCGUGGGCGCUGGAGAAUUGAGGGGGGCUGCUCCUAGUACGAGAGGACCGGAGUGGACGCAUCACUGGUGUUCGGGUUGUCAUGCCAAUGGCACUGCCCGGUAGCUAAAUGCGGAAGAGAUAAGUGCUGAAAGCAUCUAAGCACGAAACUUGCCCCGAGAUGAGUUCUCCCUGAGACUUUAAGUCUCCUGAAGGAACGUUAAAGACGAUGACGUUGAUAGGCCGGGUGUGUAAGCGCAGCGAUGCGUUGAGCUAACCGGUACUAAUGAACCGUGAGGCUUAACCUU
This 2902-nucleotide ribosomal RNA is filed under the name Klebsiella pneumoniae. Its description in RNAcentral is "23S ribosomal RNA". It matches the Rfam family "Bacterial large subunit ribosomal RNA". The record is from RNAcentral. Lineage: Bacteria; Pseudomonadati; Pseudomonadota; Gammaproteobacteria; Enterobacterales; Enterobacteriaceae.